GGAAGAGGGAGAGAAGCACAGAGAGACUCAGAGGCCUGCAGCCCCCUGGGCCAGUGCUUGAGAAACAAUGUGCACUAAUGGGGCUUUGGAGGGUGGCAACAGGAGGCCCGGUGAAAUCCCCGGUGAGAGCAGCCUUUUCGCCGUGGCCUGCCGUGAAGCACUAUGGCAGCACCCACACCUGCCAGGACUGAAGAUGAAGAAACCGAGGCCCAGAGGGACUGACGCACUUGCUCGAGACCUACCCCAAGCCAGUCUGUUCUCUUAACGUCUAUUCUGCAGUUUGAUAUGUGACCAUUCACAGUGAGCUUGGUCAAUACAAAGAUGUUCCCAGAAA
Molecule: long non-coding RNA, 334 nt
Filed under: Homo sapiens (human)
Lineage: Eukaryota; Metazoa; Chordata; Mammalia; Primates; Hominidae
Description: HSALNT0370946
Source: RNAcentral